UGCCAGCAGCCGCGGUAAUACGGAGGGGGUUAGCGUUAUUCGGAAUCACUGGGCUUAAAGAGUUCGUAGGCGGCUUGGUCAGUCAGAUGUGAAAUCCCACAGCCCAACUGUGGAACUGCGUUUGAUACUGCCAAGCUUGAGGGAGUUAGAGGAAAGCGGAACUGAUGGUGGAGCGGUGAAAUGCGUUGAUAUCAUCAGGAACACCGGUGGCGAAAGCGGCUUUCUGGAGCUCUUCUGACGCUGAGGAACGAAAGCUAGGGGAGCGAACGGGAUUAGAUA
Molecule: ribosomal RNA, 279 nt
Filed under: uncultured bacterium
Lineage: Bacteria
Description: partial 16S ribosomal RNA
Rfam family: Bacterial small subunit ribosomal RNA
Source: RNAcentral